The sequence is a ribosomal RNA, 382 nucleotides long. It matches the Rfam family "Eukaryotic small subunit ribosomal RNA", at positions 30 to 432 of the family's 1831-position model.
GCUUGUCUCAAAGAUUAAGCCAUGCACGUCUAAGUAUAAAUAUUUCACUUUGAAACUGCGAAUGGCUCAUUAUAUCAGUUAUAGUUUAUUUGAUAGUCCCUUACUAUUUGGAUAACCGUAGUAAUUCUAGAGCUAAUACAUGCGUCAAUACCUUUCGGGGUAGUAUUUAUUAGAUUGAAACCAAUGCGGGUUCCCCGGUAUUUGGUGAUUCAUAAUAACUUUCGGAUCGACUUCGGUCGAUGCAUCAUUCAAGUUUCUGCCCUAUCAGCUUUGGAUGGUAGGGUAUUGGCCUACCAUGGCUUUAACGGGUAACGGAGAAUUAGGGUUCGAUUCCGGAGAGGGAGCCUGAGAAAUGGCUACCACAUCCAAGGAAGGCAGCAGG